Long non-coding RNA from Lycium barbarum (goji berry), 1089 nucleotides. RefSeq lists it as uncharacterized. The transcript is spliced from 3 exons. The record is from RefSeq and is a predicted model, not a curated record. Lineage: Eukaryota; Viridiplantae; Streptophyta; Magnoliopsida; Solanales; Solanaceae.
UAUACCCCUCCUAAUCUAUAUAUUAUUAAAAAGAUGAUAGUUUUAGGACAAAAAUUAGUUAAUUAUUUAAUAAUUAGUUACUUAUCAGUUCUUGUUUUGAAUUUGAUUUGAGAAGUUACCAAUUUAAUUUAAAAUAGUGCCCGAUCAAAUGAUUACAAUUCCAAGGGGAAGUUCUAAAAAUUUGUUAUUCAUUUUAUUCAAGUUCAAUGAGGGGGGGUGGGGAGGUGAUAGAAGGUGGUUUACUAAUGAAAUAAGAAAGAAAGACGUGGAACGUAGAUAAAGAUAUUUUUAUCAUUGUAUUUAUUUAUUUAUUUUGUAAAAAAAAAAAAGACAAAGAGAAAAUACAAAAUACAAAAUAAAAGAAAAAAAUGAAAAAAGUGAAAAAUCCCUAAUAUGCUCAUUAACUCCCCACGUCCCAAACUCCACAAUCCCUAAUAUCCACAUUAACUACCCUAUUUUUUGCACACACUAAGACUUAACUUCUUCCUAAUAAACUGCUUCUGUUUAUUUAAAUUCUUUGAGAAAAAAGAAACACACCGCACAAAAUAAUGCCAUGGCCACAAAAGUUGCCAAUGAACAUCCACUGUUUGAGUUUCUUUUUUUUUCUUUUUUUUCUUUUUUUCCCUCCAUCACAAGGUGUUCUUAUGAACCUCGGAGAUCAGCCUUGAUUUGGGUCUUUGGGAUGCGUAUCCACGUCUCUUUUUUUGCACGACACCACAAUUAAAGGCAUCGACACUUUCAAUUAUGCAAGCACAUUUUCACUUUCGGAUAUUACUCUUAUCCCUUUGCUAAUUUUAUGUUUCAGUUUUUUUUUUCGUGUCAAAUUUUUUGAGUGUUGAUUUAGUGCGUCAAUAAUCCUUCUGCAGACUCAGGAGUUGGUAAUGGUAUUGGCAGGCUGAACAGAAGGAGAGGUUUAUAAAGACCAAAUAUUUUUCAAUAUUUUAAACUGUGCUUCAUGACUACAAUUUUAAAGAGCUUGAUCUCCUCUCCUAGCGAAGUAGUGACAUCAUGAGGAAUCAUAACGAAAUAAUAGAUGAGGAAAUCUAUAUGUUCAGGAAGAUGAUCUUAUUGAGGCAAAAUAAAACGAGG